CUAGGGGAGCGACUGGUGCAGCCGCUGAUUGUUCGGGUUCGACUGUGGCUUCCACCUCGGCUCGAACCUCAGUUGGUGGAGUUAUCGAUGUUGCUGCGACAGUCCCGUUUUCUUUUGCCGCCCCCUCUUCAGCAGACGGCGCAUUGGGAAACACUGUCGGAGCCGACAGCACCAGAACUGGCUCAGGAACCAAUGCUGAUGGUACAUUAGAUUCUCUCAUCGGUGC
This 226-nucleotide long non-coding RNA is filed under the name Elaeis guineensis (African oil palm). Its description in RNAcentral is "long non-coding RNA (EGUI_LNC005299)". Lineage: Eukaryota; Viridiplantae; Streptophyta; Magnoliopsida; Arecales; Arecaceae. The record is from RNAcentral.